ACUAUGUGUUGUUGGGUAGGGGAGCGUUCUGUAAGCCUGUGAAGGUGGCCUGUGAGGGUUGCUGGAGGUAUCAGAAGUGCGAAUGCUGACAUAAGUAACGAUAAAGCGGGUGAAAAGCCCGCUCGCCGGAAGACCAAGGGUUCCUGUCCAACGUUAAUCGGGGCAGGGUGAGUCGACCCCUAAGGCGAGGCCGAAAGGCGUAGUCGAUGGGAAACGGGUUAAUAUUCCCGUACUUGGUGUUACUGCGAAGGGGGGACGGAGAAGGCUAUGUUGGCCGGGCGACGGUUGUCCCGGUUUAAGCGUGUAGGUGUGUGUUCCAGGUAAAUCCGGUUCACUUUAACACUGAGGCGUGAUGACGAGGCACUACGGUGCUGAAGCAACAAAUGCCCUGCUUCCAGGAAAAGCCUCUAAGCAUCAGGUAACAUCAAAUCGUACCCCAAACCGACACAGGUGGUCAGGUAGAGAAUACCAAGGCGCUUGAGAGAACUCGGGUGAAGGAACUAGGCAAAAUGGUGCCGUAACUUCGGGAGAAGGCACGCUGACAUGUAGGUGAAGUGAUUUACUCAUGGAGCUGAAGUCAGUCGAAGAUACCAGCUGGCUGCAACUGUUUAUUAAAAACACAGCACUGUGCAAACACGAAAGUGGACGUAUACGGUGUGACGCCUGCCCGGUGCCGGAAGGUUAAUUGAUGGGGUCAGCGCAAGCGAAGCUCCUGAUCGAAGCCCCGGUAAACGGCGGCCGUAACUAUAACGGUCCUAAGGUAGCGAAAUUCCUUGUCGGGUAAGUUCCGACCUGCACGAAUGGCGUAAUGAUGGCCAGGCUGUCUCCACCCGAGACUCAGUGAAAUUGAACUCGCUGUGAAGAUGCAGUGUACCCGCGGCAAGACGGAAAGACCCCGUGAACCUUUACUAUAGCUUGACACUGAACAUUGAGCCUUGAUGUGUAGGAUAGGUGGGAGGCUUUGAAGUGUGGACGCCAGUCUGCAUGGAGCCGACCUUGAAAUACCACCCUUUAAUGUUUGAUGUUCUAACGUGGACCCGUAAUCCGGGUUGCGGACAGUGUCUGGUGGGUAGUUUGACUGGGGCGGUCUCCUCCUAAAGAGUAACGGAGGAGCACGAAGGUUGGCUAAUCCUGGUCGGACAUCAGGAGGUUAGUGCAAUGGCAUAAGCCAGCUUGACUGCGAGCGUGACGGCGCGAGCAGGUGCGAAAGCAGGUCAUAGUGAUCCGGUGGUUCUGAAUGGAAGGGCCAUCGCUCAACGGAUAAAAGGUACUCCGGGGAUAACAGGCUGAUACCGCCCAAGAGUUCAUAUCGACGGCGGUGUUUGGCACCUCGAUGUCGGCUCAUCACAUCCUGGGGCUGAAGUAGGUCCCAAGGGUAUGGCUGUUCGCCAUUUAAAGUGGUACGCGAGCUGGGUUUAGAACGUCGUGAGACAGUUCGGUCCCUAUCUGCCGUGGGCGCUGGAGAACUGAGGGGGGCUGCUCCUAGUACGAGAGGACCGGAGUGGACGCAUCACUGGUGUUCGGGUUGUCAUGCCAAUGGCACUGCCCGGUAGCUAAAUGCGGAAGAGAUAAGUGCUGAAAGCAUCUAAGCACGAAACUUGCCCCGAGA
This 1609-nucleotide ribosomal RNA is filed under the name Salmonella enterica. Its description in RNAcentral is "partial 23S ribosomal RNA". It matches the Rfam family "Bacterial large subunit ribosomal RNA", at positions 1213 to 2804 of the family's 2925-position model. Lineage: Bacteria; Pseudomonadati; Pseudomonadota; Gammaproteobacteria; Enterobacterales; Enterobacteriaceae. The record is from RNAcentral. RNAcentral also lists the same sequence under 1 other name.